Calypte anna (Anna's hummingbird) is the source of this 330-nucleotide long non-coding RNA. RefSeq lists it as uncharacterized. The transcript has 3 exons. NCBI's taxonomy places the organism in Eukaryota, Metazoa, Chordata, Aves, Apodiformes, Trochilidae. The record is from RefSeq and is a predicted model, not a curated record.
CUCCUAACUCUUCUGCGACGCCUCCGCACCCGCGGAGCGUAGAGGAAGGGUUAGGGGGGAAGGCGGUAGCGGGAGGGGAAUCGCGAUCCAUCCCCCACCCCCCCAACCUCCCAGCCGCAAAACUCGUGCUACCGGAGCCCCCCCCCGGGAGCGGGGUCAGUGUGGAGGGAUUGUGGAUAUCGCUGCUGUGUUGGGUCUCGCGGUCGAGGACUGACACAGACUUCAGUGGGACUGAAAUCAAGCUCUGAAGAAAACAAGUAUACGAUCAGAGAUUGCUAUGUUGAAUGUUGGAACACGUCAGAAAUUCUUCUGGGAGCCUUGGAAGUUUAC